GCCACUUUAAUUCAGUAGAUAGAAUAAUGUGUUCGUACCACAUAUGUCGUAGGUUUGAUUCCUACAGGUGGCUCCA
RNAcentral lists this transfer RNA (76 nucleotides) under Faecalibacterium prausnitzii. RNAcentral describes it as "tRNA-Thr". It matches the Rfam family "tRNA". From Rfam's summary of the family: Transfer RNA (tRNA) molecules are approximately 80 nucleotides in length. The record is from RNAcentral. RNAcentral also lists the same sequence under 4 other names. Lineage: Bacteria; Bacillati; Bacillota; Clostridia; Eubacteriales; Oscillospiraceae.